Molecule: non-coding RNA, 84 nt
Organism: Bombyx mori (domestic silkworm)
Lineage: Eukaryota; Metazoa; Arthropoda; Insecta; Lepidoptera; Bombycidae
Source: Rfam
UUAACUCAAAACUGUAUGGAGUUGGAACGUUUGCUUACGUUUGCCGCUAGGGGCGCUGUUCCAACUGCAUACAAAUUUGAGUUA